RNAcentral lists this ribosomal RNA (216 nucleotides) under Glomeromycotina sp. RNAcentral's name for it is "partial small subunit ribosomal RNA". The stretch from base 40 to 216 matches the Rfam family "Eukaryotic small subunit ribosomal RNA", at positions 686 to 864 of the family's 1831-position model. The record is from RNAcentral. Lineage: Eukaryota; Fungi; Glomeromycota.
GGGUCAGUAGGUUGGUCGUGCCACCGGUACGUACUGAUCUCACUGAUUCCUCCUUCCUGAGGAACCGUAAUGCCAUUAAUUUGGUGUUGCGGGGAAACAGGACUGUUACUUUGAAAAAAUUAGAGUGUUUAAAGCAAGCUAACGCUUGAAUACAUUAGCAUGGAAUAAUGAAAUAGGACGAUCGAUCCUAUUUUGUUGGUUUCUAGGAUUGACGUA